RNAcentral lists this long non-coding RNA (887 nucleotides) under Homo sapiens (human). RNAcentral describes it as "non-protein coding lnc-FAM71A-1:5". Lineage: Eukaryota; Metazoa; Chordata; Mammalia; Primates; Hominidae. The record is from RNAcentral.
ACAACAAUCACAGAGAGACAGUCCACCACCUCUACCCUCUUAACUCUUCCUUAGAAAUCCUACUGUCUGCAGCUGGGAAUGAAUGGAAUGAAGGUCAAGGAUGAAGGAUCUCACUCUGUUACCCAGGGUGGAGUGCAGGGGCAUGAACACGGAUCACUGCAGCUUCGACUUCCUGGCUCAAGCAAUCCUUCCACUUCCUGGCUCAAGCAAUCCUUCCACCUCAGCCUCCUAGGUACUGGGAAUACUAUUGGAGGAAUUUUGACAAAUUUAUAUACUCAUAUAACCAUCACCACAAUCAAAACACAGAACAUUUCCAUUAUCCCAAAAAGUUUCCUUGUACUUUCUCAUUCCAUCCUGGUGUGCAAUCAAUGAUGAGUUUUCUGUCACUAUAAGUUAUAUCUUGUUUUCUGUCUCUAUGAAUUAGAAUCAUAUACUAUGUACCCUUUUUGUGUCCUGGCUCCUUUUCCUCAGCAUAAUACCACAUCCAUCCUCUCCUUCUUCCUUAGUAACUGCAUCCUGGGCAAUAUCCCCAGCUGAAAGAUUACGCUUCCCAGCCUUCCUUGCAGCUAGACGUAGCCAUAUGACAAAAUGACGCCCAAUGAAGCAUACAUAGAAAAGUCAUGUGAGACUUCUGGAAAAGCUUCUGUAAAAGUGAGGAGCAGACACCCUUUUCUUUUUCUUCUCCUUUCUCUUGCUGUUGGCCUGGAAUGUGGACCUGAUGGAUGGAGCUCUGGCAAUCAUCUUGGAGUAUGAAGUGACCUUAAGGAUGAACAGAAAAGAAAAUGAGCCUGGGCCUUUAAUGACACAGUGGAGCUGCUCCCAGCUUGGCUACCUUCCUCUUAGUCUGCUUUUAUAAGAAAAUAUAUAUAUAUCUUGUUUAAGCACAA